GGACUACACGGGUUUCUAAUCCUGUUUGCUCCCCUAGCUUUCGUGCCUCAGUGUCAGGAGUUGUCCAGGGACUCGCCUUCGCCACUGGUGUUCCUCUCGAUAUCUACGCAUUUCACUGCUACACCGAGAAUUCCAGUCCCCCCUCCAACCCUCCAGCAGAAUAGUAUUCAAUGCAGUUUCCGAGUUAAGCUCGGAGAUUUCACAUCAAACUUACCCCGCCACCUACGCACCCUUUACGCCCAGUGAAUCCGAACAACGCUUGGGACCUCUGUAUUACCGCGGCGGCUGGCAC
This 292-nucleotide ribosomal RNA is filed under the name uncultured Verrucomicrobiota bacterium. Its description in RNAcentral is "uncultured Verrucomicrobia bacterium partial 16S ribosomal RNA". Lineage: Bacteria; Pseudomonadati; Verrucomicrobiota. The record is from RNAcentral.